UUCCCUCCGAAGUUUCCCUUAGGAUAGCUGGAGCCCUUAGCGAGUUUUAUCGGGUAAAGCCAAUGAUUAGAGGCAUCGGGGGCGCAACGCCCUCGACCUAUUCUCAAACUUUAAAUAGGUAGGACGGUGCUGCUGCUUCAUUGAGCCGCGCCACGGAAUCGAGAGCUCCAAGUUGGCAAUUUUUGGUAAGCAGAACUGGCGAUGCGGGAUGAACCAGAAGCCGGGUUACGGUGCCCAACUGCGCGCUAACCUAGAACCCACAAAGGGUGUUGGUCGAUUAAGACAGCAGGACGGUGGUCAUGGAAGUCGAAAUCCGCUAGGGAGUGUGUAACAACUCACCUGCCGAAUCAAUUAGCCCCGAAAAUGGAUGGCGCUUAAGCGCGCGACCUAUACCCGACCGUUAGGGCAAGAGCCAGGCCCCGAUGAGUAGGAGGGCGCGGCGGUCGCCGCAAAACCUGGGGUGUGAGCCCGGGCAGAGCGGCCGUCGGUG
This 490-nucleotide non-coding RNA is filed under the name Gossypium hirsutum (cotton). RNAcentral's name for it is "Eukaryotic large subunit ribosomal RNA". It matches the Rfam family "Eukaryotic large subunit ribosomal RNA", at positions 955 to 1444 of the family's 3401-position model. The record is from Rfam by way of RNAcentral. Lineage: Eukaryota; Viridiplantae; Streptophyta; Magnoliopsida; Malvales; Malvaceae.